UACGGGGGGAGCAAGCGUUGUUCGGAUUUACUGGGCGUAAAGGGCGCGUAGGCGGCCUCUGCAAGUCGACUGCGAAAUCUCCGGGCUUAACCCGGAAAGGUCAGCCGAUACUGCAGGGCUAGAGUGCAGAAGGGGCAACUGGAAUUCUCGGUGUAGCGGUGAAAUGCGUAGAUAUCGAGAGGAACACCUGCGGCGAAGGCGGGUUGCUGGGCUGACACUGACGCUGAAGCGCGAAAGCUAGGGGAGCGAACGGG
RNAcentral lists this ribosomal RNA (254 nucleotides) under uncultured bacterium. RNAcentral describes it as "partial 16S ribosomal RNA". It matches the Rfam family "Bacterial small subunit ribosomal RNA", at positions 524 to 776 of the family's 1533-position model. The record is from RNAcentral.